CCUACGGGGCGCAGCAGUGAGGAAUAUUGGUCAAUGGACGCAAGUCUGAACCAGCCAUGCCGCGUGCAGGAAGACGGCUCUAUGAGUUGUAAACUGCUUUUGUACGAGGGUAAACGCAGAUACGCGUAUCUGUCUGAAAGUAUCGUACGAAUAAGGAUCGGCUAACUCCGUGCCAGCAGCCGCGGUAAUACGGAGGAUUCAAGCGUUAUCCGGAUUUAUUGGGUUUAAAGGGUGCGUAGGCGGUCGGAUAAGUUAGAGGUGAAAUCCUGAGGCUCAACUUCGGAAUUGCAUCUGAUACUGGUCGGCUAGAGAGUAGUUGCGGUAGGCGGAAUGUAUGGUGUAGCGGUGAAAUGCUUAGAGAUCAUACAGAACACCGAUUGCGAAGGCAGCUUACUAAGCUACUUCUGACGUUGAGGCACGAAAGCGUGGGGAGCAAACAGGAUUAGAUACCCUUGUAGUC
Molecule: ribosomal RNA, 460 nt
Filed under: uncultured bacterium
Lineage: Bacteria
Description: partial 16S ribosomal RNA
Rfam family: Bacterial small subunit ribosomal RNA
Source: RNAcentral